Molecule: long non-coding RNA, 162 nt
Organism: Perognathus longimembris pacificus (Pacific pocket mouse)
Lineage: Eukaryota; Metazoa; Chordata; Mammalia; Rodentia; Heteromyidae
Exons: 3
Source: RefSeq, a predicted model, not a curated record
UCCCUCCUAACCCUCCCUUGAGAUGUACAGUUGCUUUACAGCAUAUUGUCUUGUAAGUAUUGCUGUUGCAUUGGGUGGCCUUUUACCCUUCAUCUCUCCAUUUUAGUGUUCUCCUCCCCUAGUUCUGAUAUAUGUAUAUACAAUACCCAGCAGUUCUUAAAA